Long non-coding RNA from Rosa chinensis, 1031 nucleotides. RefSeq lists it as uncharacterized. The record is from RefSeq and is a predicted model, not a curated record. Lineage: Eukaryota; Viridiplantae; Streptophyta; Magnoliopsida; Rosales; Rosaceae. The transcript is spliced from 6 exons.
GGAAUAAUGUGCAGAAAUUUAAAUCUGAGCCCGUGUACAAGAAUUCUUUCGUGACCGAAAGCUUAUGGUCCCCUUUAGGGACUUAUUUGGCAAAUGUUAAGAAACAGGGUAUCAUUCUUUUUAGAGGCACCUCUGCCUUACAUCAUGUGGCCACCUGUCUGCAUCCCAAGGUUUUUGAGGUGAAAUGGGUUGAAUUUUCGCCUGGUGAGAAUUAUUUGGUGUCUACAGUGUUGAACAAAAAAACACUGGUGGAAUAAGCAGAGCUGUAAUAAGCAUUUUUGAUGUGAAAACUGGAAAAGUAGUGAAAAAAAUUGUGGGAGGUCCUCAUGAUUUUGCAAAUAAAGGAGUUGGGGCGUCUUGGCCCAUUUUCAAAUGGUCCGGUGGAAGAGAUGACAAGUAUUUUGCCCUAAUCAGCAAGAAUGUUAUCUCUAUUUAUGAGAUAAAUACAUUUACAGUCAUAUUGACGGUAGGGAAUGUCACGGACUUCAGUUGGUCACCAACUGAUGCGAUUCUUGCUCUCUUUGUAUCAGAAUCGGUUGAUGCUGGUGGUGCCAUACCUGCUUUGGUGAAACUUGUUCAAAUACCCAAUAAAGAGCAGUUGAUUGAGAAGAAGCUUUCUAGUGUUAGUAACUGCAAGAUGUACUGGCAAAGCAAUGGGGAGUAUCUUGCUAUGAAAGUUGACAGCAGUACAAACAAUUUCGUUGAGCUUUUCCAAAUUAAAGAUCGAGGCAUCGAUAAUAAAAUUUUGGUGCUCCCGUAUAAUGAGGACAAGGUCACUGCUUUUGCUUGGGAACCCAAGGGCCAUAGGUUUGCUAUUAUUCAGAGUAAUGAAGAUAUUAGUUUCUACUCCAUGCGGGAUGCUGCCAGCACAGGCUGUGUUUCAUUGCUCACGAUUCUCAGAAGCAAGGGGACAAACUAUCUCUUUUGGUCACCUUCUGGUGGCCUCAUAAUACUUGCAAGGUUGAACGGUUCCAAUGGGAAUUUGGAAUUUUUCAAUGUGGAUGAACUUCGGACAGUUGCUAUAUCUAAAC